This 298-nucleotide unclassified non-coding RNA is filed under the name Bombus terrestris (buff-tailed bumblebee). RNAcentral's name for it is "misc RNA ENSBTSG00005036432.1". The record is from RNAcentral. Lineage: Eukaryota; Metazoa; Arthropoda; Insecta; Hymenoptera; Apidae.
CUUUCGGUACCUCCCCUCGACCAGUAUAAAUAGACGACCAUGUCCUCCAGACACAGUCAGUAGUAGUGCCAAUAAGUAUAACGAAUCAAUCUAACGAAUCAGCAUAACAAUUAGUAUCAGUACCGCAGUAUCGCGCAAUCUUAUAACGAAUACCAUCAAGCAAGCAACGCUUGCGAUUAACUUUGUUGUUGUUAUUUCUGUAUUCAGAGAUGGACUAGGGAUUGUAUCUAGAAUUAUCUUUUAGUUACUAUUUAUUGUAACUGGCGCUCUGCAUAUGGAUGGCGAACGCGAACUCACG